RNAcentral lists this ribosomal RNA (270 nucleotides) under uncultured archaeon. RNAcentral's name for it is "partial 16S ribosomal RNA". It matches the Rfam family "Archaeal small subunit ribosomal RNA", at positions 477 to 747 of the family's 1478-position model. The record is from RNAcentral.
CUGCAGCCCGAGUGGUGAUCGAUUUUAUUGAGCCUAAAGCGUCCGUAGCCGGACUAGUAAACCCUUGGGUAAAUCGGCCAGCUUAACUGUCCGAAUUCCGAGGAGACUGGCAGACUUGGGACCGGGAGAGGUCAGAGGUACUCUUGGGGUAGGGGUAAAAUCCUGUAAUCCUGAGAGGACCACCAGUGGCGAAGGCGUCUGACUAGAACGGAUCCGACGGUGAGGGACGAAGCCCUGGGGCGCAAAACGGAUUAGAUACCCGAGUAGUCC